CGCCCGUCAAACCACGAAAGUCAGCAAUACCCGAAACCGGUGGCCUAACCUUUAUAGGAGGGAGCCGUCUAAGGUAGGGUUGAUGAUUGGGGUUAAGUCGUAACAAGGUAUCCGUACCGGAAGGUGCGGAUGGAUCACCUCCUUUCUAAGGAGUAAAACAAAUACCAAAUUGCUUUCAUCAUAUUCAGUUUUGAAGGAUUUUCCUUCAGUAUAAUAAAGAGAUCUUUGAAGAGUAGAUAAAUUCUGUCGUAACAAAAUAAUUAAAAAGACAAAAGGUUAAGGAAUGAAGGGCAUAGAGUGGAUGCCUUGGCAUUAAGAGGCGAUGAAGGACGUGACUAACGACGAAACGCCAUGGGGAGCUGUAAGUAAGUGACGAUCCAUGGGUAUCCGAAUGGGGAAACCCAACAUGUUGAAGACAUAUUAUAUGAUUUAAUCAUAGGCAAGACGCAGGGAAUUGAAAUAUCUUAGUAUCUGCAGGAAAAGAAAGUAAAAACGAUUCUGCUAGUAGUGACGAGCGAACGCGGAGGAGCCCGAUACCAUAAUAGUAAAAAAACUAAUAAAUAGAAGAAUAACCUGGGAAGGUUAACCAAAGAAGGUGAUAGUCCUGUAAUCGAAAUUUAUUAGACUAGGGUAUCAAAGAGUACAGCGGGACACGUGAAAUCUUGCUGGAACGAAUAAGGAGGACCAUCUCCUAAGGCUAAAUACUACUUAAUGACCGAUAGUGAACCA
RNAcentral lists this small RNA (729 nucleotides) under Haploplasma cavigenitalium. Its description in RNAcentral is "bacterial LSU rRNA". The stretch from base 275 to 729 matches the Rfam family "Bacterial large subunit ribosomal RNA", at positions 1 to 497 of the family's 2925-position model. The record is from RNAcentral. Lineage: Bacteria; Bacillati; Mycoplasmatota; Mollicutes; Acholeplasmatales; Acholeplasmataceae.